This 1576-nucleotide unclassified non-coding RNA is filed under the name uncultured fungus. Its description in RNAcentral is "sequence contains 18S rRNA gene, ITS1, 5.8S rRNA gene, ITS2, 28S rRNA gene". The stretch from base 488 to 1576 matches the Rfam family "Eukaryotic large subunit ribosomal RNA", at positions 1 to 961 of the family's 3401-position model. The record is from RNAcentral. Lineage: Eukaryota; Fungi.
GGAAGGAUCAUUAACAAAUCCAAUAAUUGCUGAAGAACACUUGUUCUUUUUGCAAAUAUUAAUCCGUUGGCCGCUCUUAGAGCAGCUGACUGUGAUAUAAAUGCGUGUUAUGUUGACAGUGUGUGUAUAAAUUAAUAUUGACAACUUUUAACAAUGGAUCUCUAGGCUCUUGCAACGAUGAAGAACGCAGCAAAGUGCGAAAAGUGUUGCGAUUUGCACGAAUCUGUGAGUCAUCUAAUCUUUGAACGCGAAUGGCACUGCUAUGCAAGUAGCAGUAUGUCUGUUUGAGAAUCGCAAAACACGAUCAACUCUAGUUAAGAGUUGGGAUUGACCUCAUAUGCUCUCUAGCGUAUCUGGUUUGAAUGUAUUAAGUUGAUGAGCUUCCCAACAUUGCUCAAUGUGUGCUAGCGAGACAGUCGUCCCGAUCUCACAUUACAGUUUUGUUGCAAGGUUCUAUGCACAGCUUAUUAUUUUAUUUUAUCAAGUACGAUCUCAAAUCAGACAAGAUUACCCGCUGAACUUAAGCAUAUCAAUAAGCGGAGGAAAAGAAACUAACAAGGAUUCCCUCAGUAACGGCGAGUGAAGCGGGAAGAGCUCAAAUUUAAAAUCUGGCGUAAAAGCCCGAAUUGUAGUCUAAAGAGGCGUUAUCGGACGCGAGUCUGUCGUACAAGUUCCCUGGAAUGGGACAUCACAGAGGGUGAGAAUCCCGUCUGGACGGUGGACUAGCGGCCAUAUGAGACGUUCUCAAAGAGUCGAGUUGUUUGGGAUUGCAGCUCAAAAUGGGAGGUAAAUUUCUUCUAAGGCUAAAUAACGGCAAGAGACCGAUAGCAAACAAGUACCGUGAGGGAAAGAUGAAAAGCACCUUGAAAAGGGAGUUAAAAGCGCGUGAAAUUGUUAAAAGGGAAACGAUUGAAGCCAGUAGGACCAUGGAGAGUUCAGCGGUACCCAUUGAGUAUUGCCGCGAUGAGAGCGUUUAAGUGCGCCUCUAGCGGUAUGCGCAAAUGGACUAUCGUGCAUUCUUUCCAUGGUUAGUCAGUGCCAAUUUGAAUCGCCGGAAAAGGACUCGGGGAAAGUGGCCAAUAUAUAUUGGCUUUAUAGACCCUUGUAGAUACGGCGAAUUGGAUUGGAAUCGACAACAGCUAACGGGGACGUGUAUAUCUGCAGUUGUGGACAUUUGAGAAUCAAUUGAGUCUCAGAUGGCAUCUAGCUGGGAAAAGACAUCUUAGAUGCUGUAGUGACUACUGACGAAAUGGCUUUAAACGACCCGUCUUGAAACACGGACCAAGGAGUCUAACAUAUAUGCGAGUAUUUGGGUGGCAAACCCGGAUGCGGAAUGAAAGUGAGUCGAAUGGGAUCCCGCUAGUCGGGCGCACCAUUGGCCGAUCUUGAUAUCUCUUGAUAGAUUUGAGUCAGAGCAUAUCUGUUGGGACCCGAAAGAUGGUGAACUAUGCCUGGAUAGGAUGAAGCCAGAGGAAACUCUGGUGGAGGUCCGAAGCCGUUCUGACGUGCAAAUCGAUGGUCAAAUCUGGGUAUAGGGGCGAAAGACUAAUCGAACCAUCUAGUAGCUGGUUCCCUC